This is a long non-coding RNA of Leopardus geoffroyi (Geoffroy's cat), 1330 nucleotides long. RefSeq lists it as uncharacterized. The record is from RefSeq and is a predicted model, not a curated record. Lineage: Eukaryota; Metazoa; Chordata; Mammalia; Carnivora; Felidae. The transcript is spliced from 4 exons.
AACUGACUGAGCCACCCAGGUGCCCUGGAUAGACUACAUCUAUCUAUCCGUCCACACAUUGAUAACCACUUGAGCUGUUUCCACCUUUUGGCUAUUGUGAGUAACGCUGCUGUGAACACGCACAUACACUUUCAGUUCUUUGGGGGCACGUACCUACGAGUGGGAUUGUGGAAUCAUUUGGUAAUGCUGUUUAACUCCACACAUAACUUUCCAUUGCACCUGUCAGGAGUUGGGGAUUAGCAGAGGGUUGCUGGAGAGAAAGUUCAGUGAGCUCAGAGUCCCAUCCACACAGAGGGGGCUGGGGUGGCUGCCUGGCCUCUAGCCGAGAGAGAAGGUAUCAAGGAGCCAUCAAGAAGCUUGUUAUAUGCUCUCUGGGGAUUGGGAAGGAGGUAGCUGCCGGCUUCGUAACAACAUAGCCAAGAGAGCUGGCUGUGCACAUUAGGCCUCCUCUCUAGAAUUUGCGGGCACAAAGCAUGGUGUGGGCGUCCACCGAAGCAGAGAUGGGCCUCUCGUUCAAGGGGCGUGAGGUGUCCUUAGAUCCUGCACACCGGGCUGCCCAGAGAAGGGCAGGAACAACAGCAGAAGGAAGCUGGGCUUCACUCCUGCUCACAGAAGAGCUGCAGACGAGUUACGGGCAGCCAGCUGGAGCAGGAGUACAUCCUCUUGAGUCAAAGGAAGAGCCCAGGGAUGAGACGGCACCUGGGAUGACUGCAUACCCUUGAAGUGAAGAUAGGACUAUGACACUUGCUUUGGACAAUGAAACGUAUGGCCUGGACCCUCUGCACUGCUACCUAUCAAGUCUGGACCUGUUAACAAAGAUUCGGGGAAGAAUAGCGACCCUAAUUUCAUAGACUUUCUGUCUGGACUUACCCACAACUAUCCGGAUAUAAAUGUUGCCCUGUCCUGUUACCCACACUAUGAGCCUGUGCUUAGACUGUGUUGUCCGAGUUCCACGCCUCUGCUCUGCUGUUCGCAGACUACACUGCAGGUCUCUCUAUAGCAUGUGAAUUUACGCACAGAUCUAGAUGUGCGCACCAAACACCAAGGAAAUUCACCGAAAGUCCUACGGUUCUCUGCUUCUGUUUUUACCAAAGAUUUCAACUACAUCUAUGGCUUUCGGACAAUGACUUUCGGAUCCCAGCAGGUUUUACUGAUGACACCUGGGCUUAAUAGAAAUCACGUGAACUGGUCAGGAUCCUGUGCUCUCUGCCACCCACUGUAAUGAGGUCCCCAUCGAGAUACAGAAGGAGAACACGGCCCGGGUGCCCCGGAGGCCCAACCCCAAGAUAUGGCUGGUUGGGGAAGAAGGAGUCAUACGAGCCUGGGUGAG